CAAAUCCCUAAAAGCCAUCCCAGUUCGGAUCGCAGGCUGCAACCCGCCUGCGUGAAGUUGGAAUCGCUAGUAAUCGCGGAUCAGCAUGCCGCGGUGAAUACGUUCCCGGGCCUUGUACACACCGCCCGUCACACCAUGAGAGUCGGGAACACCCGAAGUCCGUAGUCUAACCGCAAGGGGGACGCGGCCGAAGGUGGGUUCGAUAAUUGGGGUGAAGUCGUAACAAGGUACC
Molecule: ribosomal RNA, 232 nt
Filed under: uncultured bacterium
Lineage: Bacteria
Description: partial 16S ribosomal RNA
Rfam family: Bacterial small subunit ribosomal RNA
Source: RNAcentral